CUGAGCCAGACCCCUAAGGUGGUGGGUUCCCUCUUUAAGUCACCCCUGGUAAGGUAACUCGGAAAUCAGAGCUCCCCCCUUUGUGGGGGACAGCACCUUGGUACCACUUCUAGUAGAGAGAGGAGGGUGCGGCGUGGGUAGGAAGUAAUGCAGAAAGUUUUCAGGUCUCCCGUUCAGAACUGGGGAAAAGGGAAACACAGUGGCUCGCUGUUUCUCCUUCUUCAUUGGAAAGGAAGCUCUGGCAAGCUGGAAGACCAAGUGGGAACAGGGACCUCCUCCAUCGCAGUCCAAAGGAGUGCCUGGAUCACGCUUGUCUGGACGUUGAAGCCCGCUGGAGCACUAGGAGAGCCAUGGUGAGCCAGCAGGAGGGGACUGCGCAAGUUGCUGAAAGAGAUUCGUUAAAACCUUGACCAUGGUUACAAAUUUGCCCACUUGUCUCUUUUGUUCUGUCAACUUUCUGCUUCAUGCAGCCCUGUUAUUAGAUGUCCCCGAUUCGAUCGGUGGAAGCCACUUCAAGACAGCUUCUUGGGGUCUUUGGGAGGCGAUUAGGUUCAGAUGAAGUCCUGAGGAUGUAGCCCUCAUGAUGGGAUUAAUAAGUGUAUAAAGAAGAAGAAAUACCAGCGCUCCCUCUCUCCACCAUGUGAGGACACAGCAAGAAGGUGGCCAUGUGCAAGCUAAAGAGACUUUCAACUAGGAACUGAAUCGCCAGUGCCUUGAUCUUGGAUUUCCCAGCCUCCGGAAGCAUGAGAAAUAAAUGUCUGUUGUUUAAUCCA
Long non-coding RNA from Lynx canadensis (Canada lynx), 773 nucleotides. RefSeq lists it as uncharacterized. The transcript has 5 exons. NCBI's taxonomy places the organism in Eukaryota, Metazoa, Chordata, Mammalia, Carnivora, Felidae. The record is from RefSeq and is a predicted model, not a curated record.